Molecule: ribosomal RNA, 856 nt
Filed under: uncultured bacterium
Lineage: Bacteria
Description: bacterial SSU rRNA
Rfam family: Bacterial small subunit ribosomal RNA
Source: RNAcentral
UACGGAGGGUGCAAGCGUUACUCGGAAUCACUGGGCGUAAAGCGCGCGCAGGCGGCUAUUUAAGUUGGAUGUGAAAGCCUACGGCUCAACCGUAGAACUGCAUCCAAAACUAUUUAGCUAGAGUGUGGGAGAGGAAGAUGGAAUUAGUUGUGUAGGGGUAAAAUCCGUAGAGAUAACUAGGAAUACCAAAAGCGAAGGCAAUCUUCUGGAACACUACUGACGCUGAGGCGCGAAAGCGUGGGGAGCAAACAGGAUUAGAUACCCUGGUAGUCCACGCAGUAAACGAUGAAUGUUAGUCGUCGGGGGCCUAGUGUCUUCGGUGAUGCAGCUAACGCAUUAAACAUUCCGCCUGGGGAGUACGGUCGCAAGAUUAAAACUCAAAGGAAUAGACGGGGACCCGCACAAGUGGUGGAGCAUGUGGUUUAAUUCGAAGAUACGCGAAGAACCUUACCUAGCCUUGACAUAUUUUAGAACUCCGUAGAGAUACAGAGGUGCCUUCGGGAGCUAAUUUACAGGUGCUGCACGGCUGUCGUCAGCUCGUGUCGUGAGAUGUUGGGUUAAGUCCCGCAACGAGCGCAACCCUCGUCACUAGUUACUAACGGUUCGGCCGAGGACUCUAGUGAGACUGCCUUCGUAAGGAGGAGGAAGGUGAGGACGACGUCAAGUCAUCAUGGCCCUUACGGCUAGGGCAACACACGUGCUACAAUGGCCAGGACAGUGAGACGCGAUACCGUGAGGUGGAGCAAAUCUAUAAACCUGGUCUCAGUUCGGAUUGUAGUCUGCAACUCGACUACAUGAAGCUGGAAUCACUAGUAAUCGUAGAUCAGCUAUGCUACGGUGAAUACGUUCCCGGGUC